RNAcentral lists this ribosomal RNA (540 nucleotides) under uncultured bacterium. RNAcentral describes it as "bacterial SSU rRNA". It matches the Rfam family "Bacterial small subunit ribosomal RNA", at positions 335 to 870 of the family's 1533-position model. The record is from RNAcentral.
CACCUACGGGAGGCAGCAGUGGGGAAUUUUGGACAAUGGGCGCAAGCCUGAUCCAGCAAUGCCGCGUGUAGGAUGAAGGCCUUCGGGUUGUAAACUGCUUUUGUACGGAACGAAAAGGUUCUCUCUAAUACAGGGGGCAUAUGACGGUACCGUAAGAAUAAGCACCGGCUAACUACGUGCCAGCAGCCGCGGUAAUACGUAGGGUGCGAGCGUUAAUCGGAAUUACUGGGCGUAAAGCGUGCGCAGGCGGUUUUGUAAGACAGAGGUGAAAUCCCCGGGCUCAACCUGGGAACUGCCUUUGUGACUGCAAGGCUGGAGUGCGGCAGAGGGGGAUGGAAUUCCGCGUGUAGCAGUGAAAUGCGUAGAUAUGCGGAGGAACACCGAUGGCGAAGGCAAUCCCCUGGGCCUGCACUGACGCUCAUGCACGAAAGCGUGGGGAGCAAACAGGAUUAGAUACCCUGGUAGUCCACGCCCUAAACGAUGUCAACUGGUUGUUGGGGGUUAAUUCACUCAGUAACGAAGCUAACGCGUGAAGUGACC